This 1960-nucleotide long non-coding RNA is filed under the name Salmo salar (Atlantic salmon). RNAcentral's name for it is "lncRNA (ENSSSAG00000111684.1)". The record is from RNAcentral. Lineage: Eukaryota; Metazoa; Chordata; Actinopteri; Salmoniformes; Salmonidae.
AGCAUGUGACAGCACAGCAGUAAGCCUAAGCUGGUUUGGAAAGUGUUUUUAUACAGCGUAGAGACCUAAUAUUCUACAAAUAACUUAUUUCAAUGACAGAUAUUUGGGGUGCAUGAGGCGACUGAACCUUUGUAUAGCUAACACAAGCUCUGUCAAGAAGAAGUGAAGACUACUUUUUGACAAGGGAAUUUUCACUGUGUAUGGUUAUGUAUUUGGCUCUGGUACGAGACUUUUUGUGACAGACAAUAACGUACGAAAACCCAAAGUGACGGUCUACUCAGAGUCCAACCCUGAGUCGAAUGUGAACACCCUGCUAUGUCUGGCUGGAGACAUGUUUCCAGACUUGGUCAAGAUCUCAUGGAAGAUGGAGGAUGAAAACGGCAGAGCAGUCGAGGUGCCUAAAGCAGAGGGGGAACAACUGGAGCAGAGGGAGGAAGGACAGACGACCAGUAUGAUCAUCACUGAUAAAGAGAAGAUUUACAGGAACAAAUACAUCUGUUCUGUGGAGCAUGAAGGGGGCCCUCAAGAUGUUUACAUGCUAAAAGAUCAACCAACUGAAGCUCCGCCAACCACCGUGGCUGCACCAACCUGUUCGUUCAGAAAUGACACACAGCAGUCACAGUCUCUACAUCUUACCGAUGAUUCCUUCCAGUCAACGUUUAGUCUGAACCUGGCCUCUAUCCUUUACACAGUGAUGAUAGUGAAGAGCAUGGUGUACUGCUGUGGGCUCUCUAUCCUGCUGCACCACAGGAGCUUGGGAAGAGGACCCAGCACCUGUAGACACAUUUAUUGAAAGGAUACCCCCCCCCCAUUUAUGGAUAGAGUUGUAGUGGGCUGGGAGUAACAUGGAUUUUACAUGCCAUUGAGGUUUUCUGAAAAAUAAGCAGAGCAAAUCUUGAAUGUAAAUACAUUAUGAUUUUAAUUUAGACUUGUUUUGUUAGUUGCCCUGCAAUAUGUCAUAGAGGUAGGCCUAAAUUAUACUCACAACCUGUAUUUAAUUUAUACAAAAUAUGUCAUUAUUAAAUAUGUAGGCCCAUGAGUUCUAAAUCAUUAUCCAAUAUAAUAUUUAGUAACUUGUCUUGAAGUGUAAUUUUUCUCAAGAAAUUACUUUGUUUCACAUCUCAAUAAAUGAAUAAGAGAAUCAAUUUUUGCUUUAAAUUCUAAAUGCUGAGUGCUUAUUGAGCAUAAAAAUUGGGCUAUGCGCAAAAUAAUUUAUUGGUGCUUUUGUACAUUAAUACAAUGUUUUUUUAUACAGCUUUUAUGAAGAGUAACACAGCCUGCUCAAAUGAACCAAGUUGCUCAAAAUAAUAAUAUCCUUUCAGAUGAGGAUGGAUUUAAUAAACGCAGCCUUUGUGAACGAAAAGUUACAACAAUGGUUCUGCAAAUGAUUGUAAAUAACUUUUUUACAGUUCCUUGCUAACCCCCCCCCCAAAAAAAACAUUGCAUUUCUUUACUAUAAGAUCAUCUAUUCAUAUUUGUGAAUGUUAUUUGAUUAAAUCUCAUCAGCAGCAGAACAAUAAAAUUGUAAGAUCCCCCAUUCUCUGUUUUCAACUUGUUUGCUUCAAUGUGCAUGUUCCAACACAGAUGUUGAGCCUAGACUCAAUAGUGGUGGGAAAAUGUGGUUAAUUUAUAUUUGGUUUUCUAAAGAAAUGUGAAACGGUACUUACUGGAAACAAGAUAUAGCUAGCUGCAUAACCACAGCUCGAGCGUGUGAUGAGUUGGUUAUCCAAAGCUGCUGGAUGAUUAGUUUUUAUCUUGAACCGUUUUCUGCUCUAUUUGUGGGUUCGGCUCCUGCCAUCAAAUUGAAGAAUAUGACAGCGAUGGCAGACAAAACGAGUCCAUAAUGGUAGCUUAUGGUUCUUUCAUUUGUAGAAUUAUAGCCCUAUGACAAAACAAGCUCUUACUUCUGUUUGUGUACUUUUUACCUUGAAACAAUCAAAUUAAAUGAAAUCAGAGUUGA